RNAcentral lists this ribosomal RNA (253 nucleotides) under uncultured bacterium. RNAcentral's name for it is "partial 16S ribosomal RNA". It matches the Rfam family "Bacterial small subunit ribosomal RNA", at positions 524 to 776 of the family's 1533-position model. The record is from RNAcentral.
UACAUGUGGGGCAAGCGUUGUUCGGAAUUACUGGGCAUAAAGGGUGCGUAGGUGGUUUGUUAAGUCACGGGUGAAAGUUUUCGGCCCAACCGGAAAAUUGCCUGUGAUACUGGCGAACUUGAGUGCGUGAGGGGUAACCGGAACGAGCAGUGUAGCGGUGAAAUGCGUAGAUAUUGCUCGGAAGGCCAGAGGCGAAGGCGGGUUACUGGUACGCAACUGACGCUGAGGCGCGAAAGCUAGGGGAGCAAACAGG